GAUGAACGCUGGCGGCGUGCCUAAUACAUGCAAGUCGAGCGAACGGACGAGAAGCUUGCUUCUCUGAUGUUAGCGGCGGACGGGUGAGUAACACGUGGAUAACCUACCUAUAAGACUGGGAUAACUUCGGGAAACCGGAGCUAAUACCGGGUGAUAUUUUUAACCGCAUGGUUCAAAAGUGAAAGACGGUCUUGCUGUCACUUAUAGAUGGAUCCCCGCUGCACUAGCUAGUUGGUAGGGUAACGGCUUACCAAGGCAACGAUGCAUAGCCGACCUGAGAGGGUGAUCGGCCACACUGGAACUGAGACACGGUCCAGACUCCUACGGGAGGCAGCAGUAGGGAAUCUUCCGCAAUGGGCGAAAGCCUGACGGAGCAACGCCGCGUGAGUGAUGAAGGUCUUCGGAUCGUAAAACUCUGUUAUUAGGGAAGAACAUAUGUGUAAGUAACUGUGCACAUCUUGACGGUACCUAAUCAGAAAGCCACGGCUAACUACGUG
This 497-nucleotide ribosomal RNA is filed under the name uncultured bacterium. Its description in RNAcentral is "partial 16S ribosomal RNA". It matches the Rfam family "Bacterial small subunit ribosomal RNA", at positions 28 to 507 of the family's 1533-position model. The record is from RNAcentral.